RNAcentral lists this long non-coding RNA (3174 nucleotides) under Sus scrofa (pig). RNAcentral describes it as "lncRNA (ENSSSCG00030059893.1)". The record is from RNAcentral. Lineage: Eukaryota; Metazoa; Chordata; Mammalia; Artiodactyla; Suidae.
UGAUCAAACCCACAUCUUCAUGGAGACUAUUCAGAUUCAUUACCACUGAGCCACAGUGGGAAUUCUCCCCUUUUCUUUUUAUUAAGACUCAGAAAGAGCCUAGCUUUCUCGAGGCAUGGAAUAUUUACACUGUGUACCACCAGGUUCUUCACUGCCAGUCUAUAACAUGAGGAUGUUUUUGAUAUACCCCUCAUCUUUUCACCCCCCAUUUUUUAAAAAUUAAAAUAUAGUUGAUUUACAAUGUUCUGUCCAUUUCUGCUGCACAGCAAAGUGACCCAGUCAUACACAUACAUACAUUUUUUUUCAUGUUAUCUUCCAUCAUGUUCUACCACAAGUGAUUGGAUAGUUUGCUGUGCUAUAGAGCAGGACCCCAUGGCUUAUCCAUUCUAAGUGUAAUAGUUUGCACUUACUAAGCCCAAACUCCCAGUCCAUCCUACCCCCUCCGCCUCCCCCUUGGCAACAAGUCUGUUUUCUAUGUUUAUGAGUCUGUUUCUGUUCUGCAGAUAGGUUCAUUUCUGCCAUAUUUUAGAUUCCACAUAUAAGUGCUAUCAUAUGGUAUUUGUCUUUCUGACCCUAACUUGCUUCACUUAGUAUGAGAAGCUCUAAUUGCAUCCAUGUUGCUGCAAAUGAAAUUAUUUCAUUCUUUGUUAUGGCUGAAUUCACCUACCACUUUAAAAAAAAAAAAAAAACACUUUGUUUCAUCGGCAGUUGUCACUACUAUCUGCAGGGACUCCAAGGAUGAUCUCAGAUGAUUAUGUAAGUAUUGGAUUUAUUUAUAAGCAGGAAUGAUAUAGACAUCCUCGUGGCUAAACCCUGAACUGCAAUGAUUCCUCCUCUUCAAAAUCAACUUCAAGCUAAGUGUUUACUUCAGAAUCUCCUGGCACUAGAGAAAGCUGGAGAAUGAGGAAAGAAUACUCGGUUUAACGUGUUCUUAACUUUAACUUACAUAUAACUCAUUCCAGGCAAAGGUAUUUCUCAAGUCUGAACUUCUGCUAUGAGUCCCAAAAACUGCUUGGUUCACUGAAAAUAAGGCUCAGGAAAAUCAGUGAAAACCUGUAUUAUUAUAUUUUGGAAGUCAUCGUCAACAAACAGUGUCUAAAUGUAUGGAGACUGUUUUGGCAGCAAGGGAAAUUGGCAGUGAUUAGAAAAAUCUGGGAGAACAACAAGGUCCAACUGUACAGCACAAGGGACUAUAUUCAAUAUUCUGUGAUAAAUCAUAAUGGAAAAGAAUAUAUAUAUAUAUGUAUAUAUAUAUAUAUUCCAGCAUCACUUCGCUGUAGAGUGGAAAUCAACACAACAUUAUAAAUCAACUCUACUUCAAUUUAAAAAAAAAAACAUAAAAAGAAAAAUCUACGUGCAAGCAAGUUAUAGACAGACAGCUGCUAAGCUGUUUCUCUUUCCUGUUUGCUGUUUGGGGUGUGGCAAAUGGGAGUCCUGUUUUUUUAUGUUUAUACUUCUCCAUAAAAGUCUUUCAGGCACCAUGGGGGAUGGAGAGAAAGAGAAGAGAAAGAUGCGCUGAUGUAUUCUGAGAUAAACCAAAAGGCAAUGUCUGGAAAACAGAUUGAGGUGGUUAGGAAGGCCGAUGCCACUUCCCUCCACCCCCGAAUCUGUGCUAGCUGAAACAUGCGGCAAGGUGCAACCCAAAGAAGAGUGCACGAAGCCAAGCCUGGGCUGGUUAAGACAUGAAGCCAGAUGGCGGCUUCCAUCACCACCUCAACCCACCCCACCCCAUUACCAUUUGCAAGCACUUCUGAGAAGUCACUCCCUGGCUCCUCAGAGCAGAUGUAGAGUUGGUAUCCUCUGUGUAAAUUCUCACCUGUGUGCCCGCAUCUUCCUUCCUCUGGCCAAACCCAUUGCUGAGACUCAUAGGUGUGUCCUGAGUGUUUCACCCAAGCCUGCCUUGGAACCUGGGGUUUUCAUCCUUAAACCUAAAGAGGCAAGGAAGUUCCAGGAGGUGGAAUUUGUAUGGAACGAUAAUGGUAUGGUGCUUCCCAGUUUACAAACUCUUUCCAUAUCUGAGAUGGCAGUGACUCGAUUUGGUCACAACUGGUCACACCCGAGGACAGUCGCAUCAUGAUGCUGAUCAGGAGUUAUGAACAAAGAAAUUGAGUGUUUCACUUGACAUUGUAAUCACCCACUCUCAUGCACAGACAAGAAAACUGAGUCUCAAAAAGAGUAAGCCCUUUCCCCCUUGAUCUCAGGCUGCUAGAUGACCACAUGGGAACCAUAACCCAGUUAAGUUUAUUCCAAACCCAGUGGUCCUCCUCCUAUGCCAAAGAAAGAGAAAUGGAGGAGAAGGAGACUACAGGUAAUUUGAGCCAGACCUCUAAGGACAUGGAUGAAUUUCUCAUCUCCUGUUUAGAGAGGUUGGGGUUUCAUCCACAGCAUGAAUCUAGUAAGCAUCUAGAGAGGUCAGCUGGAGGAUUUCAGGGGCUACAAGGAGAGGGGCUUCUUAGAGUGUGAGCUUUCUUCAGAAAGUCAGAUUAUUGGCUUGGAAAAGAUGAUGUGAAGCAAUGGAGUAAUUGUAAAAAUGUAAAGCAGAAUUUGGGAUGAAAGGACUCACAAGGUUGAGAGUUGAAGGUAGGGCUUAGGGGUUACAAUAUGCAAGGGUAAGAAGGAGGAGGGGCCCAAGGACUCAGGGGACUUCUAAGGGUCAGAAGUUAAGGUGCUUGGAGAAAAACCAUAGCUGAGCUAGAACAAAAGCUUCAUACUAAAAGGCAGACCAAGUGACUCUGGUGGAGAAAAAGCACCAUCUUGAAUCAAUGUGUCUAUGGUAAAGCCAUGAUGCACUAUGACAUGCUCUGUAGUCUGACCCUCUCUCCUAGGUAUCUAGGAAAGGUAAAGUGCUACAAGCUACAGCGGUUCUUGAGAGAAUGACAGCAAAUGCCCGCCUUAGCUCCUGAAAGUUGGGCUUGAGAUGCUUGCGCCAGAGUACGUGACAUUUUCCUAUCCUUCAUGUCACCCUAGAGCCCUUUUGCAGAUUUCACAAGAGGUCUUUUGUGUGUACCUAAAUCAAUCCAGAGAGACAAUGAAAUGGCAAGUUCACUGGAAGAAAGCUAGCAGACAGAGGAUGAGUCCUAGCUUUGCCAACAACUGUGUGAACUUAGACAAAUCAUUCACACCUCCUGGGUUUCACUCUCCCCAUUCGAAAAUGAAAAGGUAACACAGAUUCUA